GCAGAGCAAAUUAGAGAUUCUUGGAGCUUGAUAGUUUUCAGGUACGAGGGUACAUGGACGUACCCGAGAGGCAUAACCGCACCCGGAUGGUGCGUUUAUGCCGGUACCGUAACUACUUUUUAAUGUAUUAUAUCAAGCUCUUAGAAUCUCUUAU
This 154-nucleotide non-coding RNA is filed under the name pig gut metagenome. The record is from RNAcentral.